This 460-nucleotide ribosomal RNA is filed under the name uncultured Planctomycetota bacterium. RNAcentral's name for it is "bacterial SSU rRNA". It matches the Rfam family "Bacterial small subunit ribosomal RNA", at positions 340 to 806 of the family's 1533-position model. The record is from RNAcentral. Lineage: Bacteria; Pseudomonadati; Planctomycetota.
UACGGGUGGCUGCAGUCGAGGAUCUUCGGCAAUGGGCGCAAGCCUGACCGAGCGAUGCCGCGUGCGCGAUGAAGGCCUUCGGGUUGUAAAGCGCUGUCGAGGGGGAGGAAAGCCCGCAAGGGUCUGACCUAUCCCUGGAGGAAGCACGGGCUAAGUUCGUGCCAGCAGCCGCGGUAAGACGAACCGUGCAAACGUUGUUCGGAAUCACUGGGCUUAAAGGGCGCGUAGGCGGAUGAUCAAGUCAGGGGUGAAAUCUUUCGGCUCAACCGGAAAAUUGCCUUUGAUACUGAUUGUCUUGAGGGAGGUAGGGGCAUGUGGAACUUCCGGUGGAGCGGUGAAAUGCGUUGAUAUCGGAAGGAACGCCGGUGGCGAAAGCGACGUGCUGGACCUCUUCUGACGCUGAGGCGCGAAAGCUAGGGGAGCAAACGGGAUUAGAUACCCUAGUAGUCAUCUUUCUAGA